This 615-nucleotide ribosomal RNA is filed under the name uncultured bacterium. RNAcentral's name for it is "bacterial SSU rRNA". The stretch from base 1 to 521 matches the Rfam family "Bacterial small subunit ribosomal RNA", at positions 338 to 873 of the family's 1533-position model. The record is from RNAcentral.
CCUACGGGAGGCAGCAGUGGGGAAUCUUGCGCAAUGGGCGAAAGCCUGACGCAGCAACGCCGCGUGCGGGAAGAAGGCUUUCGGGCUGUAAACCGCUUUCAGCAGGAACGAAAAUGACGGUACCUGCAGAAGAAGGAGCGGCCAACUAUGUGCCAGCAGCCGCGGUGAUACAUAGGCUUCAAGCGUUGUCCGGAUUUAUUGGGCGUAAAGAGUUCGUAGGCGGUCGAGUAAGUCGGGUGUGAAAAUUCUGGGCUCAACCCAGAGACGCCACCCGAUACUGCUUGACUUGAGUUCGAUAGGGGAGUGGGGAAUUCCUAGUGUAGCGGUGAAAUGCGCAGAUAUUAGGAGGAACACCGGUGGCGAAGGCGCCACUCUGGAUCGAUACUGACGCUGAGGAACGAAAGCAUGGGUAGCAAACAGGAUUAGAUACCCUGGUAGUCCAUGCCGUAAACGGUGGGCACUAGGUGUGGGUUUCUAUUAACGAAAUCCGCGCCGUCGCUAACGCAUUAAGUGCCCCCGCCUGGGGGUAGGUACGGUCGCGACGACGUAAACCUAACAAACGAAGUAGUACGGACGUGAGACGUACGCCGACGGACGACCGACGAGGGAGGUAGG